Molecule: ribosomal RNA, 378 nt
Filed under: uncultured bacterium
Lineage: Bacteria
Description: bacterial SSU rRNA
Rfam family: Bacterial small subunit ribosomal RNA
Source: RNAcentral
GACGAACGCUGGCGGCGUGCUUAACACAUGCAAGUCGAACGGUGACGGAGAGCUUGCUCUCCUGAUCAGUGGCGAACGGGUGAGUAACACGUGGGCAACCUGCCCAGACUUCGGGAUAACGCUUCGAAAGAGGUGCUAAUACCGAAUACGAACGCCGUGGGCAUCCACGGUGUUGGAAAGUUUUUCGGUCUGGGAUGGGCCCGCGGCCUAUCAGCUUGUUGGUGAGGUAAUGGCUCACCAAGGCGACGACGGGUAGCCGGCCUGAGAGGGCGACCGGCCACACUGGGACUGAGACACGGCCCAGACUCCUACGGGAGGCAGCAGUGGGGAAUAUUGCGUAAUGGGCGAAAGCCUGACGCAGCAACGCCGCGUGGGGGA